This 253-nucleotide ribosomal RNA is filed under the name uncultured bacterium. Its description in RNAcentral is "partial 16S ribosomal RNA". It matches the Rfam family "Bacterial small subunit ribosomal RNA", at positions 524 to 776 of the family's 1533-position model. The record is from RNAcentral.
UACGAAGGGGGCUAGCGUUGUUCGGAAUUACUGGGCGUAAAGCGCACGCAGGCGGAUUGAUUAGUCAGGGGUGAAAUCCCGGGGCUCAACCUCGGAAUUGCCUUUGAUACUGUCAGUCUUGAGACCGGGAGAGGUGAGUGGAAUUCCUAGUGUAGAGGUGAAAUUCGUAGAUAUUAGGAAGAACACCAGUGGCGAAGGCGGCUCACUGGCCCGGUACUGACGCUCAUGUGCGAAAGCGUGGGGAGCAAACAGG